RNAcentral lists this ribosomal RNA (140 nucleotides) under Agaricus pocillator. Its description in RNAcentral is "partial 25S large subunit ribosomal RNA". It matches the Rfam family "Eukaryotic large subunit ribosomal RNA", at positions 2456 to 2599 of the family's 3401-position model. The record is from RNAcentral. Lineage: Eukaryota; Fungi; Basidiomycota; Agaricomycetes; Agaricales; Agaricaceae.
GGGUGUAGAAUAAGUGGGAGCUUCGGCGCCGUUGAAAUACCACUACCUUUAUCGUCUUUUUACUUAUACAAUGAGGCGGAGCUGGGAUGAACAGUCCCACCUUUUGGCUUCAAGGUCUUUUACAGGCCGAUCCGGGUUGA